GACCUUCUGGCGCAGUGGUAGCGUGCCAUGGCUUCAAUCCACUCCCGCCGAGAACCCAGGAGACUACUCGGUCUUCGGGGGGACCAGGGCGAAGUAUUGGCAUGUUAUGGAGGUCCUGAGUUCGACUCUCAGGUUGGUCA
Neocucurbitaria cava is the source of this 140-nucleotide non-coding RNA. Lineage: Eukaryota; Fungi; Ascomycota; Dothideomycetes; Pleosporales; Cucurbitariaceae. The record is from the annotation of a GenBank genome assembly.